UCACUGGUGAGUUUAGAAAGAGAGUUUUUCUGGUUGCUGGACUCUGGUUUCUCAGAGAUUUUAAACUUGGAAAGUUUUUCGUUGCUUUGUUCCAAGAUUUUUCCUGAGACUUUGAAGUCAUCACUGAGAUUAGGGAAUUUUUCCUUUUGGAAUUCAGGGAUCUUAAAGAUGGGGUUGGCUAUAGGAUUAGGGCUUGGAGUCCCUUUCUCAGGAGCGGGGGGACUAAAAGGAAGUAUCGAGUUUUUAGUAUCUCCUAUUUGUUGGGAGAUAGUGUGAAGGACCUGAUUAGUAUAGUUGUUUUGUCAACUAUCCUAUUGAGGUCUCUAUUAAUAGGGGCUGAUAGAGGUCUAUCAUGCUUCUUCUUAAAGGGUGAAGCAUUGAGGACUUCAUUGGAAUGAGGAAUUUUUAUCCCUUCGAGAGGAGGAGUAACGGAUUCAAUUAUCUUGUUACUCU
Molecule: long non-coding RNA, 453 nt
Filed under: Capsicum annuum
Lineage: Eukaryota; Viridiplantae; Streptophyta; Magnoliopsida; Solanales; Solanaceae
Description: long non-coding RNA (CANN_LNC020259)
Source: RNAcentral